This 348-nucleotide ribosomal RNA is filed under the name uncultured bacterium. Its description in RNAcentral is "partial 16S ribosomal RNA". It matches the Rfam family "Bacterial small subunit ribosomal RNA", at positions 338 to 697 of the family's 1533-position model. The record is from RNAcentral.
CCUACGAGUGGCAGCAGUCGAGAAUCAUUCACAAUGGGGGAAACCCUGAUGGUGCGACGCCGCGUGGGGGAAUGAAGGUCUUCGGAUUGUAAACCCCUGUCAUGUGGGAGCAAAUUAAAAAGAGAGUACCAAAAGAGGAAGAGACGGCUAACUCUGUGCCAGCAGCACCGGUAAUACAGAGGUCUCAAGAGUUUGUCGGAAUCACUGGGCGUAAAGCGUGCGGAGGCUGUGUCGUAAGUCGUGUGUGAAAGGCGCGGGCUCAACCCGCGGAGGGCACAUGAUACUGCGAGACUAGAGUAAUGGAGGGGUAACCGGAAUUCUCGGUGUAGCAGUGAAAUGCGUAGAGAU